RNAcentral lists this ribosomal RNA (528 nucleotides) under Metarhizium anisopliae. Its description in RNAcentral is "partial 18S ribosomal RNA". The stretch from base 163 to 316 matches the Rfam family "5.8S ribosomal RNA". The record is from RNAcentral. Lineage: Eukaryota; Fungi; Ascomycota; Sordariomycetes; Hypocreales; Clavicipitaceae.
UCUAGGUGAACCUGCGGAGGGAUCAUUACCGAGUUAUCCAACUCCCAACCCCUGUGAAUCAUACCUUUAAUUGUUGCUUCGGCGGGACUUCGCGCCCGCCGGGGACCCAAACCUUCUGAAUUAUAAAUAAGUAUCUCUGAGUGGUUAAAAAAAAUGAAUCAAAACUUUCAACAACGGAUCUCUUGGUUCUGGCAUCGAUGAAGAACGCAGCGAAAUGCGAUAAGUAAUGUGAAUUGCAGAAUUCAGUGAAUCAUCGAAUCUUUGAACGCACAUUGCGCCCGUCAGUAUUCUGGCGGGCAUGCCUGUUCGAGCGUCAUUACGCCCCUCAAGUCCCCUGUGGACUUGGUGUUGGAUCGGCGAGGCUGGUUUUCCAGCACAGCCGUCCCUUAAAUUAAUUGGCGGUCUCGCCGUGGCCCUCCUCUGCGCAGUAGUAAAGCACUCGCAACAGGAGCCCGGCGCGGUCCACUGCCGUAAUAUCCAACUUUAUAGUUGACCUCGAAUCAGGUAGGACUAGCGGAGGAUAUAGAC